GAGAAGAAGAAAGAGAAAGAAGAGAAGGCAAAACAAAAGAAGGAAGAAAAGGCAAUUCUCACAGAACAGGAGGCCGCUGAAGAAGAUUUGGCUUUAAAGGAAAUGAUUGGGCCUACUGCUAGGGAAGAAGAAGAAAUGAUAGAAGCAAAACAACAUGACCAACAGCAGCUCUGUAAUGUCAGUCGGGCAUUGGCUGUGCUGGCAUCUGCAUCGUCUGUUAGCAAGGAGCGUCAAGAGUUCCCGAGCCUUGUCAACAAGGAGAAAAAACUAUAUAACUCCAUGCUUGAAAGAGAAGACACAGAGGGGGCAGAAGAAGCUAAGAAGGCAUAUAUGGCUGCUACAGAGGAGUCAGACGACCUCACCGAGGUUGCUUCAGAGGAAAAAGUCUUGUCAGCGCUGAUUGACAAGGUUGAUGCUAUGCUUCAGGAAUUAGAAAAGGAGAUUGAUGAUGUGGAUGCACAAAUUGGAAACCGCUGGCAACUGCUUGAUAGGUGCGUCAAUUGCAUGUGUAUCAAAGUCGUUUCAUAUUGCAUGCCAGUCAGCUAUUGCAUUGUGCUGCCGGUGAAUUUCCUCUAG
RNAcentral lists this ribosomal RNA (576 nucleotides) under Triticum aestivum (bread wheat). RNAcentral describes it as "partial small subunit ribosomal RNA". The record is from RNAcentral. Lineage: Eukaryota; Viridiplantae; Streptophyta; Magnoliopsida; Poales; Poaceae.